This 638-nucleotide ribosomal RNA is filed under the name uncultured Actinomycetales bacterium. RNAcentral describes it as "bacterial SSU rRNA". It matches the Rfam family "Bacterial small subunit ribosomal RNA", at positions 61 to 712 of the family's 1533-position model. The record is from RNAcentral. Lineage: Bacteria; Bacillati; Actinomycetota; Actinomycetes; Actinomycetales.
GUCGAACGGAAAGGCCUCAGCUUGCUGGGGUACUCGAGUGGCGAACGGGUGAGUAACACGUGGGUGAUCUGCCCUGCACUUCGGGAUAAGCCUGGGAAACUGGGUCUAAUACCGGAUAGGACCAUCGUUUAGUGUCGGUGGUGGAAAGUUUUUCGGUGUGGGAUGAGCUCGCGGCCUAUCAGCUUGUUGGUGGGGUAAUGGCCUACCAAGGCGUCGACGGGUAGCCGGCCUGAGAGGGUGUACGGCCACAUUGGGACUGAGAUACGGCCCAGACUCCUACGGGAGGCAACAGUGGGGAAUAUUGCACAGUGGGCGCAAGCGUGAUGCAGCGACGCCGCGUGAGGGAUGACGGCCUUCGGGUUGUAAACUCCUUUCGUCAGCGACGAAGCGAAAGUGACGGUACCUGGAUAAGAAGCACCGGCUAACUACGUGCCAGCAGCCGCGGUAAUACGUAGGGUGCGAGCGUUGUCCGGAAUUACUGGGCGUAAAGAGCUCGUAGGUGGUUUGUCGCGUCGUUUGUGGAAUACCGCAGCUUAACUGUGGGGUUGCAGGCGAUACGGGCAUAACUUGAGUGCUGUAGGGGAGACUGGAAUUCCUGGUGUAGCGGUGGAAUGCGCAGAUAUCAAGAGGAGCACCGA